This 488-nucleotide ribosomal RNA is filed under the name uncultured bacterium. Its description in RNAcentral is "partial 16S ribosomal RNA". It matches the Rfam family "Bacterial small subunit ribosomal RNA", at positions 28 to 507 of the family's 1533-position model. The record is from RNAcentral.
GACGAACGCUGGCGGCGUGCUUAACACAUGCAAGUCGAACGAAAAUACCAAGCUUGCUUGGUUGAUUAGUGGCGAACGGGUGAGUAACACGUGAGUAACCUGCCCCUUACUUUCCUGGAUAACUGCUCGAAAGGGUAGCUAAUACGGGAUAUUCUGACCAGCCUGCAUGGGUUGGUUUGGAAAGGUUGUUUUUCUGGUAAGGGAUGGGCUCGCGGCCUAUCAGCUUGUUGGUGGGGUGAUGGCCUACCAAGGCUUUGACGGGUAGCCGGCCUGAGAGGGUGGACGGUCACACUGGGACUGAGAUACGGCCCAGACUCCUACGGGAGGCAGCAGUGGGGAAUAUUGCACAAUGGGCGCAAGCCUGAUGCAGCGACGCCGCGUGAGGGAGGAAGGCCUUCGGGUUGUAAACCUCUUUCGUCAGGGAACAAGGCACUGCUUUUGUGGUGGUGUUGAGGGUACCUGGAUAAGAAGCGCCGGCUAACUACGUG